Long non-coding RNA from Megalobrama amblycephala (Wuchang bream), 2817 nucleotides. RefSeq lists it as uncharacterized. The transcript is spliced from 4 exons. Lineage: Eukaryota; Metazoa; Chordata; Actinopteri; Cypriniformes; Xenocyprididae. The record is from RefSeq and is a predicted model, not a curated record.
CGUAUGCGCUCAUUUCAAAAGCUCAGUAACAGUCUUUGGUUUCUCAGUCGACGAAAAGAUCCUCUUUAUCACCUUUAACUAGUUGCUUAUUAUUAGCUUGCAAAUUACUAAGAUAUUAGCUGUAUAUUAGUACUUAUAAAACACAUAUUAAUGCCUUAUACUGCAUGACCAUAUUCUACAUCCCUUAAUCCUAUCCAAUACCUAAAAUUAACAACUACCUUACUAACUAUUAAUAAGCAGUAAUUAGGAGUUUAUUGUGGCAAAAGUCAUAGUUAAUAGUUAGUUAAUAGUGAGAAUUGGACCCUAAACUAAAAAUUAUUAAUUAUAAUUAUAAUUAUUAAGUUUUUGCCAUCUGUUAACUAAAGCAUACAGACUGAAUCACCAGAAUUGCAAUGGUUUACAAAUUUUGAGAAUGGUUUGGGAAGACAUAGGCAAUAUCUUCCUUUGUUGUUCAUUUUAAACACGACACAAAUAAAACAAAACUUUGAUUAAUAAUAAAGGUUUCCUUAUGUUACACUUGCUUAAUUCUCCAGGAAGUGACAUCAUUUUGGAAGGAAAUCAGCAGCACAAACAUCAGUAAGUAUUAGAAAUGCUGUUGUCUUUUCCUGCAGCAAGAUUUUAUUGGUCUUUUUUAUUUAUGUAUCUGUUGGGACAAAGCAUGGAAAUGUGAAACAUAAAUAAUAUUAAAGAACCGUCCUACAAAAUACUACAUAGGAUUAAAUCAGUUUAGGCAGAAUAUUUCAUACACCUGUCAAUUUUGACUGGAAAAGUAAAUAAUUUAGCAUUAGUUUGAUCAUAUAUUUAAGAUUAUUUUGGAAGGAUAUCUAUAUUAACAGAAAACGGGGGUGUAUGAUAGAAAUUUGUGUAUUUAAUGUAUUUUUUUAUUUUCAAAAUCACUUUUUGGAAAGUAAAGAACAAUACAUUAUGCAAUUAUUUAUUUUAUUAGGAAAAUUAAUCAUAAAAAGUGGGCUCUUUACAAACCAGAUUUCUUACAUUUUAUAAAUGACUUCCAAUUAUACAUGAACCUUUUGGAACUAAUCAAAAACAAAAGUACAUGUAAUGUUUUGAAAGCACUGAAAUGUAUGUAACUUUUUAUGUUUUUUCAUCAGUUUCAAUCACCUUUUUGCCUUCAGUAGUUCAUUGUAAAUGGAUUUGUGUGUGAUGUAAACUGUAUGAUAAUUAUCCUGCAAAACAAAAUGCAAAAUGUUGUUUAAAAUAGUUUUUAUGGAGUAUGACGCCAAGAAGAACAUGUCUAUUUAAUGUCAAGUAACCAGAUACUCAGAAAUCCAAAAUUUUGCAAUCUUAUGUAAAGUUGUUUUUUUUUUUUUUUUCACUCUGUAUGUAUUUGCAACCAUAUAGCUGAGAUCUGAGAAAGUAUGUGGAUUUUUUAAACAAAUGACCAACAACAAGAUCCUACACCACCAGCAAGCACAUGCGCCUUUAUGGACAUUUAUUAAAUAUUAAUUUACCUGGGUAAAGUAUUGUUCAAAGUUCAUAAACAACACCAUAAAUGGCAUGAAAGUAUUUUUGUAUGGAAGUAAAGAUACAGAAAAACAGCCAACUACCAAAGUGAGUUUCCAUGAAGAGCAAAAGCACAUACUGUGAUCAUGGGUGCUACACCUUCUAAGGAUAAUGAACAGAUUGAGAAAAAGGAAAAACCAUUUUGUGAAUGUGAGCUCAGGCAGAGACGUGGAACUUUGCAGAAAAAUCCUAACUUGAGAAAUGACAAAGAAGAUUCAGAAGAGAAGACACCGAAAGUAUACAUAGAACUCCACAGAUUUGUAGUGAUAUUGAUGGCUGUAGUUGCGGCACUUAUUGGUUCAGUUGUUGGAGCUCAAAAUGGAGUUUCAGGGUCUUGCAAGGGAAUAAUCUGCGGUGUUCUUGUGGGGAUUAUACUUUCAAAAUUGAUAUCAUUAAUUCAUGGCAACAUAUGAUUUUACAUUACUUUAACUCAUAAAAAUAAGUUUAAAUUUAAUAAGUUCAAAUUUAUUCACUCUUUUAUCCAAAGAAACCUACACAUUGUACAUCAUAUAAGCACUUGAAUCAUAAGGAGCUGCAAAGUUUGAAAGUUGAACAGAUACAUGCUAGUACAAACUGCAAACAGAAAAGAAUUUUCUUAUGUUUUUAAGUAAAAUAUAUUUGAGAAUGUGCAGGGGUAGCUUAGAGUUAUUCAGAUUUUACAGAGUUAAUUUUUUCAAGUAACUAGUAAAGUAAAAGUCAAACAAGCAAGCCCAGAUUAGAUAAAGUAACACAAAUAUAAUGUAACAUAUUACUUUUCAUAAAAAGUAACUAAGUAACACAACCACCAGUUACUUUUUAGGGUGUAACACAAUUUUGUAAUGUAUUACUUUUAAAAGUAACUUUCCCCAACACUAGCAUUAUGUAUAUAUUUUCUUGAAAACUGAGGGACGGGUUGGUUGACACUGGACAGAUUGUACUAUAGAUUUGAAUUGAAAAAAAAAAAAAAAAACAGCUAGUGAGAGUAAAAAGAUAAAAUACAUUUGCUACACUAAUACACGUCUGAAUGAAACACUGCAUACUAGGACUGUAGGGUGAAUACAGGGACUUAAGUUCUUGCAUCAUACCAGCAUUCAUCUAUGCCUCUUUAGUUCUGACAUCAUUUCUGUGGGCAUAUCACAUUUAGACAGCUUUGUAUGCUUUAUAUGUUAAAGAUGUGCAUCCAAGGAAGCUAAAAAGCAGGUGUUUGCUAGACUUUGUGUGCUGUUGUGUUGAUGGAUUUGCCUGAGCAAUUGUGUAAAAAUGGAAAGUGGAGUCCAGAACUACAAUAAAAACAGGAACAUACUCUAUAAACAUGCU